This 1323-nucleotide ribosomal RNA is filed under the name Graptodytes pietrii. RNAcentral's name for it is "16S ribosomal RNA". The stretch from base 1079 to 1237 matches the Rfam family "Archaeal large subunit ribosomal RNA", at positions 2542 to 2701 of the family's 2987-position model. The record is from RNAcentral. Lineage: Eukaryota; Metazoa; Arthropoda; Insecta; Coleoptera; Dytiscidae.
UGUGCAAUUCAAUAUAGUUUGAAUUUAAAAGAUUAUUGAAUUAAUAUUUAUUUAAUAAAAAUAAUUUUAUUAAAAAAAUUUUUAGUAUAGUUUAUAGAAAAAAUAUUUUAAGUUAUAGAUAAGUAGUAUUGUAAAAGAAAUGUGAGAAAGAAUUUAAUUGAAAAAAAGUAGAAUUAAAUUUUUGUACCUUGUGUAUCAGGGUUUAUUAAAAAAAAUUAAUUAAUUGUUAGUUUCCCGAUUUUAAGAGAUUUAAUAGGAUUAUUUUUUUUAUUGUAAUAUAAAUAUUUAUAAUAACUUAUUAGAAAUGAAAUGUUAUUCGUUCUUAAAAAUAUCUGGUUUAUUUAGAAAUAAAUUUAAUUUAGUUAAUUUGAAUUUAUUAUUUUAUUUUUUAAAAAUAAUAAAUAUAAUUAAUACUAUAUAAAGGGAUAAGCUUUUAUGUAAAAUUUUAAAAUACAGGUAGUUUUUUAUAAAAAGAUAAGUUUAGAAAUAUUUAUUGUUAAUAGUUUGUUAUAAUUAUUUUAUUAUUUUUUAAUAUUUAAUAUUAAUAUUUAAUUUUUUAUAAAUAAAAAUUAUUUAAUAAGAAUUUAUUAGAUAUAAUGAUGAAAUUAGUAUAUAGAAUUGUUUAAAUAAAUUAAAAAUGGAGAUUAUUUAAAGGAAUUCGGCAAAAAUUUUAUUCGCCUGUUUAACAAAAACAUGUCCUUUAGAGUAUAAUUAAAGGUUUAACCUGCCCACUGAAAAAUUUAAAUGGCCGCAGUAAAUUGACUGUGCAAAGGUAGCAUAAUCAAUAGUUUUUUAAUUAAAAGCUUGUAUGAAUGGUUGGACGAGAUAAAAUCUGUCUUUAUAUAAUAUAUAGAAUUUAAUUUUUAAGUUAAAAAGCUUAAAUUAAUUUAAAAGACGAGAAGACCCUAUAGAUCUUAAUAAUUAUUUAUUUAAAAAUAUAUAGGAAUAAUAUUUAUUAUAAUUAUUUAAUUAUUUUGUUGGGGUAAUAGAAAGAUUUAAUAAAUUCUUUUUUAAUUAAAACAGUAAUUUUUGAAUAGUUGAUCCAUUAUUAAUGAUUAAAAGAUUAAGUUACCUUAGGGAUAACAGCGUAAUUUUUUUAAAGAGUUCAUAUCGAUAAAAAAGUUUGCGACCUCGAUGUUGGAUUAAAAAUUAUUCUAGGUGUAGUAGUUUAGAGUUUUGGUCUGUUCGACCAUUAAAUUUUUACAUGAUCUGAGUUCAGACCGGUGUAAGCCAGGUCGGUUUCUAUCUUUAGAUUUUUAAAAUAUUUUAGUACGAAAGGACCAAGUAUUUAAUAUAUUAAUAUUUUAUUUAAUGAAUAAAAUU